Molecule: ribosomal RNA, 527 nt
Filed under: uncultured bacterium
Lineage: Bacteria
Description: partial 16S ribosomal RNA
Rfam family: Bacterial small subunit ribosomal RNA
Source: RNAcentral
UGGGGAAUAUUGCACAAUGGGCGCAAGCCUGAUGCAGCCAUGCCGCGUGUGUGAAGAAGGCCUUCGGGUUGUAAAGCACUUUCAGCGAGGAGGAAGGUGGUGAACUUAAUACGUUCAUCAAUUGACGUUACUCGCAGAAGAAGCACCGGCUAACUCCGUGCCAGCAGCCGCGGUAAUACGGAAGGUGCAAGCGUUAAUCGGAAUUACUGGGCGUAAAGCGCACGCAGGCGGUUUGUUAAGUCAGAUGUGAAAUCCCCGGGCUCAACCUGGGAACUGCAUUUGAAACUGGCAAGCUAGAGUCUCGUAGAGGGGGGUAGAAUUCCAGGUGUAGCGGUGAAAUGCGUAGAGAUCUGGAGGAAUACCGGUGGCGAAGGCGGCCCCCUGGACGAAGACUGACGCUCAGGUGCGAAAGCGUGGGGAGCAAACAGGAUUAGAUACCCCCGGUAGUCCACGCUGUAAACGAUGUCGAUUUGGAGGUUGUGCCCUUGAGGCGUGGCUUCCGGAGCUAACGCGUUAAAUCGACCGCC